This is a long non-coding RNA of Capsicum annuum, 1426 nucleotides long. RefSeq lists it as uncharacterized. Lineage: Eukaryota; Viridiplantae; Streptophyta; Magnoliopsida; Solanales; Solanaceae. The record is from RefSeq and is a predicted model, not a curated record. The transcript is spliced from 3 exons.
UCAAUUAUUAACUGUCCAUAGGUGUUCAUCUAGUCACCAUUGCCUAAUGCUCUGUCUAUUCAGCUACAAAUUCUAUGCGGCCCUAGUUGUUUAUUGGAACAAGUAUAGAACUCGCCUCUCCAGGGCAAUUCAGUCAGGAAUAAAUCUUUCAUAUAGGUUGCAAAAUCAGAAAUUUCAGCUCUGGUUACAGCAUGCCCGUUUAGUCGAUUUUGAGAUUGAAGAAGAGCAUUAAAGUCAACCCAGAUUAACCAAGGUGUGUUGAUCUGCGCUUCUAUAAACCUCGGCUCAUACCAUAAUAAUUUUCUUAACUCCACAGUAUUAAAUCCAUACACCGCUGUCAUACAACACUCAACCUUCUUGUCCCUGCUAGUAACAUUGCAAUGAAUAUACUGAGAGUAUCCAAAUUCUACCAUUAGUGGCACUUGAGUAGUUAUGCAUCAUACACCAACCAGGUACUAUUUUUAAGCUAUAGCUGUUGCAUUAUGAAUCUUUACUCUAGUUUCUAUCAAUCCAACCAACUUAAUACCCUUCUCCUUAAUGUAAUUGCUCAGUUUUCUCUGUUUAUACUUUUAUUGAUGCCCCUGGCAUUUCAUGUCAAACAAGACAUUUAAUGACUAGUGGAAGGUCCUCCCCCAUCUCUAGGAAGGUGUCCAUCUACCACCACAACAGUUGUAUCUUGUAAAUACAUCAAAACCAUUUUACAUAUUCAGCGAUAUAGCCUGAACAUAACUCUUCUUACCAGUGCUAGUACAACUUGUUGUUUACCCUUAGGCAUAGGGGUAAACCCAUCAUUUGUAGCUAUAAUAUCAGCAAGGGUGUGUAUAUCAAUAGGUCCUGUUUCCACUAGUUGCUGCAUCUCCUGGGCUUUCUGUGGUUUUGUUUGUUUAGGGAGCCAAGUAGGGAGCAAUUUAGGGACCUUAUGUUUUGGAGGUUGCUCCUGCUUAGGCUUGGGAGCAGGUUGAGGGUGUUUAGCUUUGGAACAAGAAUGUCCCACCAUCAUACAUGUGUCACAGUAUUUCGGCUUCCAGUCAAAAAAGUUUCUCAUACGGCAGUGGACAAUGGAAGGACUUUGCAAUAUUUAGGAUUGGAUGGAGAGAAGAGUUCUAUGGGGAUUGAUGAAUUAUUCAAGUCUUCAAUUUGAAAAAGAAUGACAAUUUGACGCCUGUCCAAGUUGCCUCAAUCUGAAUGUAGAUUAAUGUAGAUUGUAAUAAGUGUCAGCAACAUGUUGUUGCCUGUUGUUGGUUCUUCAAUUGUCCACCAAGAUAUAACAAUUGGAUAAUUGUAGAGUUUAUUUUUAUUUUUUUUCAAUUUAUGUUUGAAACAUAGAUAAGGUAAUGUAGUAUCCCUCUAACAAAUUUUUCUUCUAAUAAUUUUUAUAUAUUAAUUUUGUCCAAAAAAAAUGAAGAGUAAUAUUGAUUGCAAAGUA